UCUACACCAUAAAAACCACCACCGAUUGUACGACAACAAAUCCUUUUGAUCAAGUUCAAACGGAACAAUCACCGGUCGAACCUCCGCUCCACCACACCGGAUUCACGACGAUGCAAGGAGCUACCACCAUCCAUAAUUUUCUCUCGCCGCAGGUUUGAAUGCAAUUCGGUUAACUAAUGCAGCAGGUACCUGAAUAUGUGAUGCUGAGUUGUGGUUUGUUGGCAGGCUGAUUUGUGCAGGGCUCAUGGUUCAUCAUAGUGAGGUUGGAAUAUGCUGAGUGUCUUGGACUGAAUUUCCUGGAUCGUUUCGAUUUGGCAGGUUAUUACUCUGAAUUCAUUAAUGCAUAAUUCAAGUCAGUUUUGGAUUGAAUGAUAUUGAACGGGUUAUGAUGUGCAUAUGGAAAUGAAUGGUAUGGUUUGAUUUAGUGUAUGGUUUAAGAUUGUUAAUGUGUAUAUGGUGAAAAUGCUGCCUUGUGUGAUCCUGUUCUGACUUAUGACUUAUGAGUUGUAUUGAAAAUUACUUUACUGGUUUGUAUCAAAAUAAUAUAAAUCUGAGAUGUUAAUCUCUCUUACCUUAUUUUUCUACAUUCUUCGAGCAUUAUUGUUGUUGUUUAUGUUCUAAGAGUUUGAUCUUAUUGCUGUUGUUUAUGUUCUAAGAGUUUGAUCUUAAUACUACAAAUCUUCCUAUUGAGAAAAUUAAGAAAUGUGUUGGUGACCCUGAAGCUGAUGUGGAGAAUGAAGUUCUAAAGAUCGAACAAACAACACAGAUUGGGGGAGGAUCUCGUGGCGAUGUAACCAUCUUGCCAAGACAGAAGUGCUAAUGUAACUGCUUGCAAGUUCUCCACUGCGAUCUCGUUCUCGAUCUCACUCCAUUUCUUCUGCGUGAUCUCUAUCUUUCUCCAUUCCAAUCUCUAUCAUCAUAUUUUAAUUGGAAGAAAUUAUUGGAUACUCUUCUGCAUUUCUAACUUUCUUAUUUAUUAUUGUUACUCCCUCCCCUGCAAUAUGUAUUAGCAUGGAAGUAAAAUGGAAGUAAAGUUUAUGAGCAGAAGAAGAAAAAAAGUAUAGAAGAAAAUGUCAAUAACAUUACUUGUAGCACUCUAUCAGUUUAGACAGCAGAACCUUCCAGCAUGUAAACCUGUCCUUACACCUGCAGCAGUCAUUUCUACAUUUCUAUUGAUGGGUUUAAUUUUUAUUCCUGUUGGAAUUGUUACACUUCGUGCAUCGUAUAAUGUGGUUGAAAUUGUGGACAGAUAUGACAAUGACUGUGUACCCGAAGAAUACCGUGAUUUCGCUCUCAUGACUAUUUUGAAACUACUCUAAAUUUUAUCUUCUGACCUCUAGAUGGAAACAUGUAAUAUUUAUAUAGAUGACCUUAUUUGUUUGGUGCAAAGACUUCAUGCUGUAAGUUAUACUCUGUGUUUUUGUCUAAAUCAUUAUGUUUUAGACAAGAUGUCAUACACAUAUAUUCAUGUUAUGAAAUUAUGGUAUCCAAUCAUGAGAAUUUUAUUAAAUAAGUG
Vicia villosa (hairy vetch) is the source of this 1516-nucleotide long non-coding RNA. RefSeq lists it as uncharacterized. NCBI's taxonomy places the organism in Eukaryota, Viridiplantae, Streptophyta, Magnoliopsida, Fabales, Fabaceae. The transcript is spliced from 6 exons. The record is from RefSeq and is a predicted model, not a curated record.